UCUUCCUUGGUCUAGUGGUCAUGAUUUCCGCUUGUCAAACGUCCUACGACGUUAACAAGCGCGGGAGACCGGGGUACGUUAACUUCCAUUCUGAACAUAGACACCAUUCCUAACUUGUGAAAAGGUUCGAUUCCCCGAGGGAGAG
Non-coding RNA from Kalmusia sp. IMI 367209, 145 nucleotides. NCBI's taxonomy places the organism in Eukaryota, Fungi, Ascomycota, Dothideomycetes, Pleosporales, Didymosphaeriaceae. The record is from the annotation of a GenBank genome assembly.